Molecule: ribosomal RNA, 460 nt
Filed under: uncultured bacterium
Lineage: Bacteria
Description: partial 16S ribosomal RNA
Rfam family: Bacterial small subunit ribosomal RNA
Source: RNAcentral
CCUACGGGCGACAGCAGUGAGGAAUAUUGGUCAAUGGACGAGAGUCUGAACCAGCCAAGUAGCGUGAAGGAUGACUGCCCUAUGGGUUGUAAACUUCUUUUAUAUGGGAAUAAACUGUUCCACGUGUGGGAUUUUGUAUGUACCAUAUGAAUAAGGAUCGGCUAACUCCGUGCCAGCAGCCGCGGUAAUACGGAGGAUCCGAGCGUUAUCCGGAUUUAUUGGGUUUAAAGGGAGCGUAGGUGGAUUGUUAAGUCAGUUGUGAAAGUUUGCGGCUCAACCGUAAAAUUGCAGUUGAAACUGGCAGUCUGGAGUACAGUAGAGGUGGGCGGAAUUCGUGGUGUAGCGGUGAAAUGCUUAGAUAUCACGAAGAACUCCGAUUGCGAAGGCAGCUCACUGGACUGCAACUGACACUGAGGCUCGAAAGUGUGGGUAUCAAACAGGAUUAGAUACCCCGGUAGUC